CCUACGGGGGGCAGCAGUGGGGAAUAUUGCACAAUGGGGGAAACCCUGAUGCAGCGACGCCGCGUGAGGGAAGAAGUAUUUCGGUAUGUAAAGCUCUAUCAGCAGGGAAGAAAAUGACGGUACCUGAUUAAGAAGCCCCGGCUAACUACGUGCCAGCAGCCGCGGGAAUACGUAGGGUGCAAGCGUUAUCCGGAUUUACUGGGUGUAAAGGGAGCGUAGACGGCAGCACAAGUCUGGAGUGAAAUGCCGGGGCUUAACCCCGGAACUGCGUUGGAAACUGUGCAGCUAGAGUGCAGGAGAGGUAGGUGGAAUUCCUGGUGUAGCGGUGAAAUGCGUAGAUAUUAGGAGGAACACCAGUGGCGAAGGCGGCUUACUGGACUGUAACUGACGUUGAGGCUCGAAAGCGUGGGGAGCAAACAGGAUUAGAUACCCGAGUAGUC
RNAcentral lists this ribosomal RNA (440 nucleotides) under uncultured bacterium. Its description in RNAcentral is "partial 16S ribosomal RNA". It matches the Rfam family "Bacterial small subunit ribosomal RNA", at positions 338 to 795 of the family's 1533-position model. The record is from RNAcentral.